GACGGAGGAUGCAAGCGUUAUCCGGAAUGAUUGGGCGUAAAGCGUCCGCAGGUGGCAGUUCAAGUCUGCUGUCAAAGACCGAGGCUUAACUUCGGAAAGGCAGUGGAAACUGAACAGCUAGAGUAUGGUAGGGGCAGAGGGAAUUCCUGGUGUAGCGGUGAAAUGCGUAGAGAUCAGGAAGAACAUCGGUGGCGAAGGCGCUCUGCUGGACCAUAACUGACACUCAGGGACGAAAGCUAGGGGAGCGAAUGGG
This 253-nucleotide ribosomal RNA is filed under the name uncultured bacterium. RNAcentral's name for it is "partial 16S ribosomal RNA". It matches the Rfam family "Bacterial small subunit ribosomal RNA", at positions 524 to 776 of the family's 1533-position model. The record is from RNAcentral.